AGACACAGUGUGGCCUGGAUUAUGUGGAGAAAUACUUGGAAACUUUGGUGGCUCAGAAAUCUAACUAUACUUGCAUCAACAUGGAUCUCAAAUGAUACUGAACUUAAAGAGUUGGUUUUUGUGGAGUCCAUAUCAAAACAGCAAAUUCGCUAUUUUGCUUCAAGUCACUAUUUCUUUUUCCAAUUUAAUACGAUUUACUAUUUGAUUCAAUUUUCAAUUCUA
Molecule: unclassified non-coding RNA, 222 nt
Filed under: Hevea brasiliensis (rubber tree)
Lineage: Eukaryota; Viridiplantae; Streptophyta; Magnoliopsida; Malpighiales; Euphorbiaceae
Source: RNAcentral